UAAAAGGAGACCAUGAGGCAAUGAGUCGAUCAUCCAAGGAAACACACAGAUAUCCCAACUAAAAUUCCAUCAGUGAGACAAUGGCUGGAACCAAUGAUAUUAAAAUUAAAGGGUUUGAUUUGAGCAACAACAAAGGCAACACGUCGGGAUUAACCCACUUCGCCAACAGAGCUGACGGGGGCGACAAGGGCGACAAUAAAAUCGAGGUUGAGGAUGCUAAAGGGCAAGGGAACACAGGAAACUUGAAAGUACUGACCGACUUCGCCCAACGCGGUAAAGUGGGCCAGUCGGAUCGCCAAGAACUACUCAAACCUCAGGCAUGAAAUUGAAGAAGGCCAUACCAUAACCACUUGUCUGCUUGAUAGAUAUAUGUGCUAAAUUAUCUACACAAAAAUAAGAGCUGCUGUUUUAUCUGAGGCUCCUUCCUUGGUUAGGCCUCGUUAUCAUGUGUAAUAUUAAUAUUAUUA
Molecule: long non-coding RNA, 467 nt
Filed under: Prunus dulcis (almond)
Lineage: Eukaryota; Viridiplantae; Streptophyta; Magnoliopsida; Rosales; Rosaceae
Description: sRNA ncRNA
Source: RNAcentral